This 339-nucleotide ribosomal RNA is filed under the name Eulimnogammarus vittatus. Its description in RNAcentral is "partial 16S ribosomal RNA". The record is from RNAcentral. Lineage: Eukaryota; Metazoa; Arthropoda; Malacostraca; Amphipoda; Eulimnogammaridae.
GUGCUAAGGUAGCAUAAUAAUUUGUUUUUUAAUUGGAAGCUGGAAUGAACGGUUGAGCUGGUUUAAUAAGUUUGUAUAUUUAAAUAGAAAGUUAAAGUCAAGGUAAGAAUUCUUUGAUUAUUUAGGGGACGAUAAGACCCUAUAAGCUUUAUAAAUAUAUAAAUGAUUUUGUUUUUUGAAUUAAUUUAUUUUACUGGGGCGGUACUGGUGUAUUAACUACUAGUUAACUCAAGAUCCUAAAAAUAUGGAUGGCGUGCAAAAGUUACUUUAGGGAUAACAGUGCAAUAUUUUUGGAGAGGCCUUAUCGAUGAAUAUGUUUGCAACCUCGAUGUUGAAUUA